Molecule: ribosomal RNA, 551 nt
Filed under: uncultured Glomeromycotina
Lineage: Eukaryota; Fungi; Glomeromycota
Description: SSU rRNA
Rfam family: Eukaryotic small subunit ribosomal RNA
Source: RNAcentral
UUGGAGGGCAAGUCUGGUGCCAGCAGCCGCGGUAAUUCCAGCUCCAAUAGCGUAUAUUAAAGUUGUUGCAGUUAAAAAGCUCGUAGUUGAAUUUCGGAGUUUGUCGGUUGGUCGGGCUUCACUGUCCGCACUGACCUGAUGGAUUCCUACCUUCUGAAUAACCAGCAUGCUAUUAAGUUAGUGCGUUGGGGAAGCAGAGCUAUUACCUUGAAAAAAUUAGAGUGCUUAAAGCAGGCUUAUGCUUGAAUAGAUUAGCAUGGAAUAAUAAAAUAGGACGGCAUGGUUCUAUUUCGUUGGUUUCUAGGAUCACCGUAAUGAUUAAUAGGGAUAGUUGGGGGCAUUAGUAUUCAAUUGUCAGAGGUGAAAUUCUUGGAUUUAUUGAAGACUAACUUCUGCGAAAGCAUUUGCCAAGGAUGUUUUCAUUAAUCAAGAACGAAAGUUAGGGGAUCGAAGACGAUCAGAUACCGUCGUAGUCUUAACCAUAAACUAUGCCGACUAGGGAUCGGACGAUGUUAAUUUUUUAAUGACUCGUUCGGCGCCUUACGGGAAAC